RNAcentral lists this ribosomal RNA (484 nucleotides) under uncultured bacterium. RNAcentral's name for it is "partial 16S ribosomal RNA". It matches the Rfam family "Bacterial small subunit ribosomal RNA", at positions 30 to 507 of the family's 1533-position model. The record is from RNAcentral.
AUUGAACGCUGGCGGCAGGCCUAACACAUGCGAGUCGAGCGGAUGAAGGGAGCUUGCUCCUGGAUUCAGCGGCGGACGGGUGAGUAAUGCCUAGGAAUCUGCCUGGUAGUGGGGGAUAACGUCCGGAAACGGGCGCUAAUACCGCAUACGUCCUGAGGGAGAAAGUGGGGGAUCUUCGGACCUCACGCUAUCAGAUGAGCCUAGGUCGGAUUAGCUAGUUGGUGGGGUAAAGGCCUACCAAGGCGACGAUCCGUAACUGGUCUGAGAGGAUGAUCAGUCACACUGGAGCUGAGACACGGUCCAGACUCCUACGGGAGGCAGCAGUGGGGAAUAUUGGACAAUGGGCGAAAGCCUGAUCCAGCCAUGCCGCGUGUGUGAAGAAGGUCUUCGGAUUGUAAAGCACUUUAAGUUGGGAGGAAGGGCAGUAAGUUAAUACCUUGCUGUUUUGACGUUACCAACAGAAUAAGCACCGGCUAACUUCGUG